RNAcentral lists this ribosomal RNA (2785 nucleotides) under Salinivibrio sharmensis. Its description in RNAcentral is "bacterial LSU rRNA". It matches the Rfam family "Bacterial large subunit ribosomal RNA". The record is from RNAcentral. Lineage: Bacteria; Pseudomonadati; Pseudomonadota; Gammaproteobacteria; Vibrionales; Vibrionaceae.
UCCGAAUGGGGAAACCCACCUGCAUAAGCAGGUAUCUUAGCGUGAAUACAUAGCGCUAAGAGGCGAACUCGGGGAACUGAAACAUCUAAGUACCCGAAGGAAAAGAAAUCAAUUGAGAUUCCGGCAGUAGCGGCGAGCGAACCCGGAGCAGCCCUUAAGCGGCUUAGGCGUUAGGUGAACAGGUUGGAAAACCUGGCAAUAAAGGGUGAUAGCCCCGUAACCGACGGCGCCUUAGWCGUGAAAWCGAGUAGGACGGGACACGUGAUAUCUUGUCUGAACAUGGGGGGACCAUCCUCCAAGGCUAAAUACUCCUGACUGACCGAUAGUGAACCAGUACCGUGAGGGAAAGGCGAAAAGAACCCCUGUGAGGGGAGUGAAAUAGAACCUGAAACCGUCUACGUACAAGCAGUGGGAGCCUCCAUGUGGGGUGACCGCGUACCUUUUGUAUAAUGGGUCAGCGACUUAAUGUAAGUAGCAAGGUUAACCGCAUAGGGGAGCCGUAGGGAAACCGAGUCUUAACUGGGCGACAGUUGCUUGCAUUAGACCCGAAACCGAGUGAUCUAGCCAUGGGCAGGUUGAAGGUUGAGUAACAUCAACUGGAGGACCGAACUCACUAACGUUGAAAAGUUAGGAGAUGACCUGUGGCUAGGGGUGAAAGGCCAAUCAAACUCGGAGAUAGCUGGUUCUCCCCGAAAGCUAUUUAGGUAGCGCCUCGGACGAAUACUACUGGGGGUAGAGCACUGUUAAGGCUAGGGGGUCAUCCCGACUUACCAACCCUUUGCAAACUCCGAAUACCAGUAAGUACUAUCCGGGAGACACACGGCGGGUGCUAACGUCCGUCGUGGAGAGGGAAACAACCCAGACCGCCAGCUAAGGUCCCAAAGUUAUCGCUAAGUGGGAAACGAUGUGGGAAGGCUCAGACAGCCAGGAUGUUGGCUUAGAAGCAGCCAUCAUUUAAAGAAAGCGUAAUAGCUCACUGGUCGAGUCGGCCUGCGCGGAAGAUGUAACGGGGCUAAGCGAUACACCGAAGCUGCGGCAAUGUCCUUAUGGAUAUUGGGUAGGGGAGCGUUGUGUAAGCUGUUGAAGGUGUGCUGAGAGGCWUGCUGGAGGUAUCACAAGUGCGAAUGCUGACAUGAGUAACGAUAAAGGGGGUGAAAAACCUCCUCGCCGGAAGACCAAGGGUUCCUGUCCAACGUUAAUCGGGGCAGGGUAAGUCGGCCCCUAAGGCGAGGCCGAAAGGCGUAGUCGAUGGGAAACGGGUUAAUAUUCCCGUACUGCUGCUUACUGCGAUGGGGGGACGRAGAAGGCUAGGUGGGCCUGGCGAUGGUYGUCCAGGUUCAAGUGCGUAGGCUGAUUUCUUAGGCAAAUCCGGGAAAUCAAGGCCGAGACACGAUGUCGAGCCACCAAGGUGGUGAAGUCAUUGAUGCCAUGCUUCCGGGAAAAGCCUCUAAGCUUCAGGUAAGUAGCAACCGUACUCCAAACCGACACAGGUGGUCGGGUAGAGAAUACCAAGGCGCUUGAGAGAACUCGGGUGAAGGAACUAGGCAAAAUGGUACCGUAACUUCGGGAGAAGGUACGCUGCCCGCGGUGAAGUCCCUUGCGGAUGGAGCUAUGGGCAGUCGCAGAUACCAGGUGGCUGCAACUGUUUAUUAAAAACACAGCACUGUGCAAAAUCGAAAGAUGACGUAUACGGUGUGACGCCUGCCCGGUGCCGGAAGGUUAAUUGAUGUGGUUAUCGCAAGAGAAGCCAUUGAUUGAAGCCCCGGUAAACGGCGGCCGUAACUAUAACGGUCCUAAGGUAGCGAAAUUCCUUGUCGGGUAAGUUCCGACCUGCACGAAUGGCGUAAUGAUGGCCACGCUGUCUCCACCCGAGACUCAGUGAAAUUGAAAUCGCAGUGAAGAUGCUGUGUACCCGCGGCUAGACGGAAAGACCCCGUGAACCUUUACUACAGCUUGGCACUGAACAUUGAGCCUACAUGUGUAGGAUAGGUGGGAGGCUUUGAAGCGGCGACGCCAGUUGCUGUGGAGCCAUCCUUGAAAUACCACCCUUGUAUGUUUGAUGUUCUAACUUAGCCCCRUUAUCYGGGGUGAGGACAGUGCCUGGUGGGUAGUUUGACUGGGGCGGUCUCCUCCCAAAGYGUAACGGAGGAGCACGAAGGUGGGCUAAUCACGGUCGGACAUCGUGAGGUUAGUGCAAUGGCAUAAGCCCGCUUAACUGCGAGAGUGACGGCUCGAGCAGGUACGAAAGUAGGUCAUAGUGAUCCGGUGGUUCUGAAUGGAAGGGCCAUCGCUCAACGGAUAAAAGGUACUCCGGGGAUAACAGGCUGAUACCGCCCAAGAGUUCAUAUCGACGGCGGUGUUUGGCACCUCGAUGUCGGCUCAUCACAUCCUGGGGCUGAAGUCGGUCCCAAGGGUAUGGCUGUUCGCCAUUUAAAGUGGUACGCGAGCUGGGUUUAGAACGUCGUGAGACAGUUCGGUCCCUAUCUGCCGUGGGCGUUGGAUGAUUGAGGGGAGCUGCUCCUAGUACGAGAGGACCGGAGUGGACGAACCGCUGGUGUUCGGGUUGUGUCGCCAGACGCAUUGCCCGGUAGCUAAGUUCGGCACAGAUAAGCGCUGAAAGCAUCUAAGCGCGAAGCUGGCCCCGAGAUGAGUCAUCCCUAGAGCUUCGAGCUCUCUAAAGGGUUGUYSUAGACKASRACGUUGAUAGGCAGGGUGUGUAAGCGCUGUGAGGCGUUGAGCUAACCUGUACUAAUUGCCCGUGAGGCUUAACCAUACAACACCCAAG